GAGGGUAUAACUCGGCGGUAGAGUGCCUGCUUAGCAUGCAAGAAGUCCUGGGUUCAAUCCCCAGCACCACCA
This 72-nucleotide transfer RNA is filed under the name Camelus bactrianus (Bactrian camel). It matches the Rfam family "tRNA". Rfam says of the family: Transfer RNA (tRNA) molecules are approximately 80 nucleotides in length. The record is from Rfam by way of RNAcentral. RNAcentral also lists the same sequence under 3 other names. Lineage: Eukaryota; Metazoa; Chordata; Mammalia; Artiodactyla; Camelidae.